UGAGCUGCAAAUGGAGCAAAAUUAUAGAUGUAACAGCAGAAUCCAUCAUGGUAUAUAUAUAUAUAUAUACAGCAAUAUAACUUGAACCAUUAAAUACUUAUUGGAAUACAAUAUGACGUGAAAGUGUAAUAUAUUUAUGCAUGAUAGAUAGAUAGCUAGAUAGCUAGCUAAAUAAAUAAAUAAAUAAAUAAAUAAGAAGCAGUUUAUGUCAGUCACAAGGAAAUUGAGCGGGUCAAAAUGUGCCUAAACAGAAGUCAAUACGGGUGUCAGCUUUGCCUAGCAGAGGGUGAGGCUUCCUGGGCUCAAAAUCACUGUGGCUCCAGGCUUUGGGCCUGUGCUGCAUGUAGUGUUAAAGCAUGAGCAUGGCUCGGUUACAUAUGUAACCCUCACGUACCCUUUUAGUGGGUCACUCUCUACAUUACGUCGGUGACCAACGAAUUAGGAUCCCUACCAAAGGGCCAUGGAUCCUGCCCCUUCCAGUGACCUGUGCGAGCCGCCUGUGCCCCUUUUUGGUGUAGGCAGGGGCUCAUAACAAGAAGACCAGUCAACGUUAUUGUAGCACUACCCACUCAGUGAGAUUGGAUAACACUGGGAAAACAUACCCAUUCUACUUGGAACAGAAAUGUUGUGGAAGCCCCAUCCUUCCCGAAAGAGGUUUCAGAAGCACUUACACUUAUGAACAACCAUUUAGGUGCAUAUGGAAGAAUAGAGGUGAUUGUAACCCUAUUGGAAAAUGGCAGAGAGUCUGCCAGGGAAACACAGGCUUUAAGGCUAUACCGUGGACUUUACACAUAUGGGAUCUACUUAGGUCUCUACAUAUGGAACCCAGUCCUCUACCGGUUCUCAUGGAUUCAUUGAGGGGCUGGUGCCGGAUGUUCCGCCACGUCUGGCUGCCAAGGGGAUGGAGGAGCUUGACAGGGUCUACAGUAUGGACUAUCUGGAGCAGUUUUAGCAAGCUGACACUAAACCAGGGCCUCUCAGCGCUUCUAUCCGUUUGAGGUGAGAAUACAGGAGGAUACUGGCUCAACACGAAGGCUAUAGGAAUCUAGCAAACCUGUUGGGGGUCACCCACCCCGCAGCUCUACAAAUAUCUGUCAGCGAGGCACCACGAGGAUGCAACACUUCUAGUAGAGUGUGCUUGCAACCUGAGCAGGCAGGGAACACCCUGUGCCUGAAAAGCCAGGGUGAUGGCAUCCACAAUCCAGUGGGCCAUCCUCUGCUUAGAGAUGGCCUUCCCCUUCUGCUGGCCUCCGAAACAGACAAAGAGCUGGUCUGAGGUCCUACAGCUUUGUGUCUGGUCUACAUAGCAUCUCAAGGCUCAGACGGGACAAAGCAAACAUAGGGCUGGGUCUGCCUCCUCUGGGGGCAGUGCUUGCAGGCUCACCACCUGAUCCCUGAAGGAAGUAGUGGGAAUCUUGGACAUAUAGCCAGGCCGGGACCUCAGGAUUACCUGGGAGUCAGCCGGCCCAAACUCUAGGCAUGAAUCAUUGACUGAAAAGCAUGCAGGUCCCCUAUCGCAGAAAUGGUCUGUGGCGUGGAAGGAUCAACAAAUGAAAGUACGUGACCUUCAGGUCAAUUUGCUGCAAACCAAUCUCGGAGAUGGAUGCACGCAAAGUUUUUCUGCUGUGUUUCUUUUUGAACAGUGUUUCUGCAUCAACAUGUUGAACGUUAACCAGUGAAGGUCCUGGUUCAACACACGCAGGUCCAAGAUUGGACAUAACCCACCACCUUUCUUGGGUACAAUUAAGUAGGAGCUGUAAAACCCUGUCUUCAUAUCGGCUGAAGGAACCGGCUCUAUAACAUCCUUCGCAUACUUCCUUGGUGUGAAGCGGAUGCCAGUGAACUUGGGGGGAUGCCGGUUGAACUGAAUCGCAUAGCCGAGGCUGAUGGUCCACAGAAGUUAGCAGGACGUGAUGGGUAGCGCUACCCAGGCACCCAGAUACCAUGCAAGCAGGACCAGAGGAGCCUGCUUCUGGGGCAGCGAGGUGGAACACAGGAAUCCAACUGAGCGAAGAGGGGUCUGAGUGUGCAGUGCAACGCUUACCUGGUUCUACAGUUUGGCUGAGGGUGCGAGAGUAGGGCCUUUGUUGACGCUCUCGAACCGCCUGCUGCUGACUGCUGGCGGGAGAGGAGGAUGAGUGUGGUCCUGUGUUGGUCCAUCCAUGACUCUCCGUGCCCUCUUGGGACCCAGAGACAGAGAAAACUGCCCUGUCAUCGAGAUUUUUGUAAAAGAAAAAUCUGGGGGAUGGAGAUCAUCCCCCAAAGAGCAGUUUCCUCCCUCUCUGGGUCCCCCGUCCCGGGGCCUCUUGCUCUUCCACUC
Molecule: long non-coding RNA, 2320 nt
Organism: Cyprinus carpio carpio
Lineage: Eukaryota; Metazoa; Chordata; Actinopteri; Cypriniformes; Cyprinidae
Source: Ensembl